Labeo rohita (rohu) is the source of this 135-nucleotide small nucleolar RNA. RefSeq annotates it as small nucleolar RNA SNORA5. The record is from RefSeq and is a predicted model, not a curated record. Lineage: Eukaryota; Metazoa; Chordata; Actinopteri; Cypriniformes; Cyprinidae. The transcript has a single exon.
UGCAGCCUUGUCAAAUUCAGUGUUUCCUCCUCAGUGGACCACACUGGCCAAAAGGGCUGCAACAGUGAAUUUGUAGUCCAUAUGCCCUAGUUUCCUGUACAGUGGAUACUGGGGAUGGUAGGGCUAUGUACAGAU